Molecule: small nuclear RNA, 102 nt
Organism: Pristis pectinata (smalltooth sawfish)
Lineage: Eukaryota; Metazoa; Chordata; Chondrichthyes; Rhinopristiformes; Pristidae
Source: RefSeq, a predicted model, not a curated record
GCAACUUCAGCAGCACAUACUAAAAUUAAAGUGAUACAGAGAAGAUUAGCACGGCCCCUGUGCAAGGAUGACACAUAAAUUUGUGAAGCAAUUCAUAUUUUU